AACGAACGCUGGCGGCAUGCCUAACACAUGCAAGUCGAACGAGACCUUCGGGUCUAGUGGCGCACGGGUGCGUAACGCGUGGGAACCUGCCCUUAGGUUCGGAAUAACUCCCCGACAGGGGUGCUAAUACCGGAUAAUGUCUUCGGACCAAAGAUUUAUCGCCUUUGGAUGGGCCCGCGUUGGAUUCGCUAGUUGGUACGGUAAAAGCCUACCAAGGCGACGAUCCAUAGCUGGUCUGAGAGGAUGAUCAGCCACACUGGGACUGAGACACGGCCCAGACUCCUACGGGAGGCAGCAGUGGGGAAUAUUGGACAAUGGGCGAAAGCAUGAUCCAGCAAUGACGCGUGAGUGAUGAAGGCCUUAGGGUUGUAAAGCUCUUUUACCCGGGAUGAUAAUGACAGUACCGGGAGAAUAAGCCCCGGCUAACUCCGUG
RNAcentral lists this ribosomal RNA (433 nucleotides) under uncultured bacterium. RNAcentral describes it as "partial 16S ribosomal RNA". It matches the Rfam family "Bacterial small subunit ribosomal RNA", at positions 29 to 507 of the family's 1533-position model. The record is from RNAcentral.